CCUACGGGAGGCAGCAGUGAGGAAUAUUGGUCAAUGGACGAGAGUCUGAACCAGCCAAGUAGCGUGAAGGAUGACUGCCCUAUGGGUUGUAAACUUCUUUUAUAUGGGAAUAAAACGUUCCACGUGUGGGAUUUUGUAUGUACCAUAUGAAUAAGGAUCGGCUAACUCCGUGCCAGCAGCCGCGGUAAUACGGAGGAUCCGAGCGUUAUCCGGAUUUAUUGGGUUUAAAGGGAGCGUAGGUGGAUUGUUAAGUAAGUUGUGAAAGUUUGCGGCUCAACCGUAAAAUUGCAGUUGAAACUGGCAGUCUUGAGUACAGUAGAGGUGGGCGGAAUUCGUGGUGUAGCGGUGAAAUGCUUAGAUAUCACGAAGAACUCCGAUUGCGAAGGCAGUUCACUGGACUGCAACUGACACUGAGGCUCGAAAGUGUGGGUAUCAAACAGGAUUAGAUACCCGUGUAGUC
Molecule: ribosomal RNA, 460 nt
Filed under: uncultured bacterium
Lineage: Bacteria
Description: partial 16S ribosomal RNA
Rfam family: Bacterial small subunit ribosomal RNA
Source: RNAcentral